RNAcentral lists this ribosomal RNA (257 nucleotides) under uncultured bacterium. Its description in RNAcentral is "partial 16S ribosomal RNA". It matches the Rfam family "Bacterial small subunit ribosomal RNA", at positions 85 to 354 of the family's 1533-position model. The record is from RNAcentral.
UAAUUCUCUAGUGGCGCACGGGUGAGUAACACGUGAGGUAACCUGCCCCGAGAGCGGGAUAGCCCUGGGAAACUGGGAUUAAUACCGCAUAGUAUCGAAAGAUUAAAAGCAGCAAUGCGCUUGGGGAUGGGCUCGCGGCCUAUUAGUUAGUUGGUGAGGGUAACGGCUCACCAAGGCGAUGACGGGUAGCCGGUCUGAGAGGAUGUCCGGCCACACUGGAACUGAGACACGGUCCAGACACCUACGGGAGGCAGCAG